Molecule: ribosomal RNA, 449 nt
Filed under: uncultured bacterium
Lineage: Bacteria
Description: bacterial SSU rRNA
Rfam family: Bacterial small subunit ribosomal RNA
Source: RNAcentral
UCAAGAAACUUCCACAAUGGGCGAAAGCCUGAUGGAGCGACGUCGCGUGAUGGACGAAGUGCUUCGGCACGUAAACAUCUUUUAUGUGGGAUGAAAUUAUUGACAGUACCACAUGAAUAAGGGGCUCCUAACUCUGUGCCAGCAGGAGCGGUAAUACAGAGGCCCCAAGCGUUAUCCGGAAUCACUGGGCGUAAAGGGUGUCGAGGCGGUUGUAUUAGUCGUUCGUAAAAUCUACGAGCUUAACUUGUAGGCGGCGAACGAAACGGUACGACUUGAGGUUUGGAGAGGUGCGUGGAACUCACGGUGUAGGGUGAAAUCCGUUGAUAUCGUGGGGAACACCAAAGGCGAAGGCAGCGCACUGGCCAAAAUCUGACGCUCACACACGAAAGCUAGGGUAGCGAAGAGGAUUAGAUACCCUGGUAGUCCCUGAGCGGGCUGGCAAGGCGCAU